Molecule: long non-coding RNA, 408 nt
Organism: Syngnathus acus (greater pipefish)
Lineage: Eukaryota; Metazoa; Chordata; Actinopteri; Syngnathiformes; Syngnathidae
Exons: 2
Source: RefSeq, a predicted model, not a curated record
UGCCUCUUUUUUUUUUUUCUUUCUUCAGUAAGACAAAUACAUCUUGAACUAGGCUGGCCUUGCCGCUACCCAAGGAGACUCCGGAGCACCGAAGGUUUUGUUGACAGUCGCCCCGGAAGAAGUUGGGAGAGACGCACAAGCUUCACAGCCCCCGAAGAAGAAGAUGACUAUCUGGUAGCAUCAAGUCAGCUGAAGGUCAUCAGACCUACCAGCACCCUCUCAGCAAUGUACCCACUCCGCCCCCCCUCCACAGCUUUCCCGCUUUCAUCACCCUUGAAGCCUGAUCUUGAAAAGAUAUGACAUUGACAGACACAUAAACCAGCGGCCUUCUAUCUGGCACUCCCUCCCACUGCCCUCCAGUCCUCCAACUAAUGGGUCUUUGCCAAUAAUAAACGAGCGAGAAUCACA